Molecule: ribosomal RNA, 459 nt
Filed under: uncultured bacterium
Lineage: Bacteria
Description: partial 16S ribosomal RNA
Rfam family: Bacterial small subunit ribosomal RNA
Source: RNAcentral
CCUACGGGGUGCUGCAGUGAGGAAUAUUGGUCAAUGGACGCAAGUCUGAACCAGCCAUGCCGCGUGCAGGAAGACGGCUCUAUGAGUUGUAAACUGCUUUUGUACGAGGGUAAACGCAGAUACGCGUAUCUGUCUGAAAGUAUCGUACGAAUAAGGAUCGGCUAACUCCGUGCCAGCAGCCGCGGUAAUACGGAGGAUUCAAGCGUUAUCCGGAUUUAUUGGGUUUAAAGGGUGCGUAGGCGGGAUGCCAAGUCAGCGGUAAAAAUGCGGUGCUCAACGCCGUCGAGCCGUUGAAACUGGCGUUCUUGAGUGGGCGAGAAGUAUGCGGAAUGCGUGGUGUAGCGGUGAAAUGCAUAGAUAUCACGCAGAACUCCGAUUGCGAAGGCAGCAUACCGGCGCCCUACUGACGCUGAGGCACGAAAGCGUGGGUAUCGAACAGGAUUAGAUACCCCUGUAGUC